UAGGGAAUCUUCCGCAAUGGACGAAAGUCUGACGGAGCAACGCCGCGUGAGUGAAGAAGGAUUUCGGUUCGUAAAACUCUGUUGUUAGGGAAGAAAAAAUGUAUAGUAACUAUAUACAAAAGAGACGGUACCUAACCAGAAAGCCACGGCUAACUACGUGCCAGCAGCCGCGGUAAUACGUAGGUGGCAAGCGUUGUCCGGAAUUAUUGGGCGUAAAGCGCGCGCAGGUGGUUUAGAAAGUCUGAUGUGAAAGCCCACGGCUCAACCGUGGAGGGUCAUUGGAAAAUAAUAAACUUGAGUGCAGGAGAGAAAAGUGGAAUUCCUAGUGUAGCGGUGAAAUGCGUAGAGAUUAGGAGGAACACCGGUGGCGAAAGCGGCUUUUUGGCCUGCAACUGACACUGAGGAGCGAAAGCGUGGGGAGCAAACAGG
This 429-nucleotide ribosomal RNA is filed under the name Verrucomicrobiota bacterium. RNAcentral describes it as "Verrucomicrobia bacterium partial 16S ribosomal RNA". It matches the Rfam family "Bacterial small subunit ribosomal RNA", at positions 355 to 776 of the family's 1533-position model. The record is from RNAcentral. Lineage: Bacteria; Pseudomonadati; Verrucomicrobiota.